UACGGGGGGGGCAAGCGUUGUUCGGAAUUACUGGGCGUAAAGGGCUCGUAGGCGGCCAACUAAGUCAGACGUGAAAUCCCUCGGCUUAACCGGGGAACUGCAUCUGAUACUGGAUGGCUUGAGUUCGGGAGAGGGAUGCGGAAUUCCAGGUGUAGCGGUGAAAUGCGUAGAUAUCGGGAGGAACACCAGUGGCGAAGGCGACUUCCUGGCCUGUUCUUGACGCUGAGGCGCGAAAGCUAGGGGAGCAAACGGG
Molecule: ribosomal RNA, 253 nt
Filed under: uncultured bacterium
Lineage: Bacteria
Description: partial 16S ribosomal RNA
Rfam family: Bacterial small subunit ribosomal RNA
Source: RNAcentral